UUUUCUUGAUGCAUGUGUGCUGGUGUACUGUUUGUUAUCUAUACUUAAAAACCAAUUCAGAACAUUGCCAGGUGAAACAAAGCCAUUCAUACUUGAGCCAUUGGAGUUGUAUGUGGAGAGGAAACAAAACUGUUCCCACCCUCCAAGAGAUCUGGGAUUCUGGGGCUUUUAAAUAGAGCUCUGGGUCAGGAGAGGAAGUCUCCUCUUCAUGUAAAGGUGCAGGAGAGCUCCAGUGGUCAGGAAUUGGCAAUCUUGAGUAGAGGAAGCCUGAAGCCUGUUUGGACUGCUUUGAACGGCUGGAAAUGGGUCUCAGUGAAGAUGGAAGGGUUGGCGAGGUUGCAGAAGAUGGAGUGCAAAGGGACCCAGUGAUUUUUUUUGGAAGGCAUCAGAAGACUGAAGCUGACAGAAGGUAUCAGAAGAAUGCUGACAGAAGCAAAGAAAAGCACAUUGUAUGUUAUAAGAGGGUUUGUGAGGGGUUAGUGUGUCGGGAAUGGGGAAGAUGAAGGUGGAUGUCUGUUUACUGGCAGUUCUGUUGGCCUGAUCUCAAGGUGGGAAUGCAGAGUUGCAAAAAGCAGGUAUAAGCUAUUUGAAUGGCCCAGUGGAAACACUACCAAAAAUUGGCCCAGGAAGAAGUAAAGGAGUACAUGUUUUUCUGUUGUUUUUUUUUUUUUAUGGUGUAGAAAAACAUCUGGCCAGGACUGAGGGUAGGAGUAGAAGUCUGAAAGCAAAUGUAAAUAGAGAAUAACCAAAGCACUGUGGUUCUCUGUAAAAGUUUCUUUGUAAGUAACAUACAUGGAAUACAAUUAAAGCUCAUAUUGCAUCUCAAAAAAAAAAAAAAUGCUGCUCACAGGUAUCUGUAUAGAUAGCUGUCAUCACAUCAGCUCAAAUACUACUGUAAUGGCAAACAUCUUUGCAACACACUCCAGUAUUUUGUAGUUUAUACGUGCUAUUACAAAAUAACUCCAGCUCCAUAGCAUAUGUUUUAUUUGAGAAACAUCAGGGGGAAAACCCUGGCCUAAUGUUUUUCAGAAAAAUGUUAUGAAAAAUUUCCUACCCCUCUUAUGGUUUUGGGGCAUUAGUUCCCUGAAAACAAAAGCCCUGAAACAAUUUUUUUCCCCCAGUCUAUCAGACCUGAAGCAGUGGGGGGAGCUUGCUUCUCACUCUAAUGUUAUAAAAAAAAAAAAAGGUGAUUGCAGUAAAUGGGCUGGACUUUAAGUGUUUCUUUUUUAGAUCUGCAUUUCAAAUGUUUUCUUUUGCAAAUUCAUUUUCUACCAGCUGCUACUGUUAAGAAAAAGUGGUACCUUCUGUCAAGAAGACCUAUGCAAUCUCAGAGAAGCAAUCACUCAGAGAAGGGGGGAGGGAGGUACAUUUUUGCCCUAUUGCUUAAUUGCUGUACUGCCCCCAAGAGUGCUUUGCAUUUCAAUUUUUAUCAGCAAUCUCAUCCUCUGCCUUGCAACAAGGGUCCAGCAUUGGCCCUAAAGGGGGUCUUCAUGUGUUUUACCUUUUAAACUAAAUGGCUUAUAAGGAGAAGUUUACUCGGUUUUGUCUUUGUCCCUCAGUAUGGAUAUUAUGAAUAAAAGGGAAACAAUGUUUAGGAUAAUAUUUGAUAGAGCCUCCAUGGACUUGUAUGGUCUAUCUGAAAACAAAAGGAAAAUAUUUUUAAUAGCUUUUGGCUCUGGAAGCAAUCCAGACACUCCAUAAAUUCCUAUGUCAAUGUAGAUUUCUUCUUCCAGCUUUGCAAGUUCUCAUUCUAGGAAAUUAUUAGGAAUGAGAAGGUAUUAAAGUCCUUAACAGUUGAAGUUUAUAAUAGUAAUGUCUUCAUCUAAUUAGAAAUGUGAUGAACAGUCCAAGUUUUGUCUCAGGGCUGUUUGCAUUCACCCAUACCCUUUCACAGUAUGAGGGCCUGCUAUCUGGGUAUGCAUUUCUACAAUUAUGCUAACCUCUCAUGAUUUGUCUUCCCUUUGGUAGUAAGAAUCAGCCUAGCCGCUUCAUCUUACACUGCAUGAUCAGGUAUUUAAUCCUAACAAGGCUCAAGGAUCCCUACAAAGGUGAUCAACUGGAUCUUCAAUUCGGCCACUCUCUGCACUGCGAGGCAGAGUCAAUCUUUUGGAGAUCUCUUGGGAUAUUGGCACUGGUUUUUCACAGGUACUCUGGCUACUUUAUCAACAGGGAAAAAGAAAUGUGGGACGGUGGCAAAGAAAACCCUGCAUCUGAGCUUGAAGUUGUCCCCACUGACUCAAGCUCCUCCUAAGGACUGUGGCAACAAACUGAUGCUCAAACCAGGUGCAGUACUCAUCAGACAUCUUAAAGGCCGCCCAAAGCAGCAAAUCCACCUCCUGUGUGGCCACAAAUCGUUAAAGGGGUGGAGACCACUAUUGGAUCAAGCCAUCCUGAAGCUCAAUCAGAGAUUUGUUGCCCCCACCUAGCCUAUGCCCAAUAUCAGAACUUCCCCCCAGGAGAGAAGGAUUGCAUGCUCCAGGUGUGGAAAUUAGAACCUGAUGCUUUCCUGCUGGUGGUUGCAACCCAGGAAGCUGCAGGAGCAGACCUGAGAGUGCCCAUCGAUAUCCAUGUAAAUAAAAAAUAACAGACUUGGGCACUACUGGGCAUAGAUCUAUGGGGGGAGGAUGUAAUAGACCCUGGCUACCAAGGAAUGCUUCUCCACCUAGACCCAGAGAGACCUGAAAUGAGCCUCAUAGCAGGAGACAGAGUGGUGCAACUGAUCCUGCACAAAAUCACUUUCCCUCAUGUGACAAAAGGGAAACCUUCUGCACAGAGUAAAGAAAAGGGGGAAAGACAAUUUGAGGCCCCAAGAGCAAAAGUGUGGGUGAAGGGAGGCACUGGGUAACUGAAAGCAGGUAAAGUAUUCUUCCCUGCUGGAAAAAAUGCUUCAGAUCUCCAAAUAGAAGAAGACUUCUCUACAAGAGUGACUAAUGAUUGUCUUUUUGUUCAGUAGACUUCAAUAAGAACUCACAAGGAGGAUUGCGGUCACCUUUUCCAAGCUUGUGAGUUGAGGUGUGAAUCUGUUUAAAGCAGGGAUGUCUACGCUGGCUGAAAUGCUUGCCUAAACUUCUCCUGUGCCUCUUCCUCCCGCUGACCACUGCAUAUACUAACAUAUCAGCUACCAGAUUGCCAUCGCUGAACAGCAGUAUAACUAUUGGGUCUACACGUCUAUGCCUCAUCACUCGCAAGGGAGAUUCCCUGUCUAGACAAGGCCGCUGAAUGACUCUAAAAUUUGUGACUAUUUUGACUUUGAGAGAGAGCCAGUGCAAACUCAGCACUCUCUAAUAAUCAACUAAAUCUCUAAAUGUGCUUUUAUUGUUGAUAUGCCAUAUGUCCGCAGUACAUACAACAGGCAGAUAAAACCCCUCAAGUGAAACUCAGGGCCUCCUGCGGAAGAUUGGGCGUGCAGACUGUAAGAGAGAGCUUGCAGGGGUGGAUUGCCCUGUAUUCAACUGCCUAAGCCAUUUUCCUUCUCCGUCCUGAAGCAUCAAAUGUGGAACUCUUACGAUCACAGACAGAAUCCCUUUGUUACCCCAGAUGAACUCAAAGGCAAAUGCUCUACAAGGCAGACAACGGACACUUUCAUCUUACCUGGGACUCUGAAAUACAUAGAACGUAUAGCAGCAGCAGCAGCAGCAGCAGCAUCUGAUUAUGCUUGACCUACUGGUGCAUCUAAAUAUUACAAAAAAGAAAAUACUGAAAUAUUGUCACAGCAGUAUAUAGAAGGAUUCGAAAAUCAUGAACAUUUAAAAGCACUUCCCCUGGGAGAUAGCCGCUGAGAUGCUAAUUGGCUAAGGGACAGAAGACUUCUACAAGACUCAUGGGUAUGGUGCUGAUCUCAGACUGAAACAGCCCUUGCAGUUAGAAGGUUUCUAGGAAAGUCCUUGCAGACUGUUACUCUCAACUACGCUUAAAUUUCCAGUUGAUGUUUACUAAGGUAAACCGGCUUCUGUUGCAUCAAUUAAGGGAAGGUGAUGGAGAAGUGUUGCCAUCUGCGCUGUUCAAACUGUUUGUGCCACCUCUGCUUCAGUAUAAGAUAUGACCUUGGCACAAUGUGUUUCAGACAGUAAUGAGUUUGCCAUGCCUUGUUGCACACCCAAGAGAAACCUAUGAAGAAACUGGGAAAGUAUUAUUACCCUGGAUCUCAAAGACUGGAUUCAAGAAAUGUAUAACUUAGCCAUUUUUGAAAAGGCAAUUUUUUCUUCUAAUGCAAAAAACAAUAUAAUAUGUUUCUCUUUGGCAUAGAUUACGUAAUAUUCUACAAGCAUAUAUAAUUUGUAUGUGUAAUUUGAUAUGUCGUUAUUAAAAGAAAUGGGUAUGUAAUAUAUUUAGGUGAUUGGCAUUAAUUUUAGGUUAAUUAAUUUUCAGGGUUUUAAAAAAAUGUUUAUUGUAUUACUUGCCUUGCUUUGUACUGUAGUAUUUCAUUAAUUUGGUGGUUAUGUAUAUUAUUGCUCUUCUUUUAAUUUGUUUCUGCAUA
Long non-coding RNA from Python bivittatus (Burmese python), 4477 nucleotides. RefSeq lists it as uncharacterized. Lineage: Eukaryota; Metazoa; Chordata; Lepidosauria; Squamata; Pythonidae. The record is from RefSeq and is a predicted model, not a curated record.